UUCCCCAUGAAAAGUAGAAAAAGGUUUUGUGGCCAUUUCCUCUGAGCUACUGGAAGGACACAUAAGUCUUGGAAGAAAAAGUGACACAACACCAGGACCUUCAGAACCAAGAUUACCUGCAGUGAUUUGAUGAGACAUGCUACCAAGGCUGAGACAUAUGAACAUGGAGUAUCCUCCAGGGAAAUCCUAGGAAGAUCAUCUUCCUCCAAAUAGUGAAGAUAGGAGACAUGUCUCCUUGAUGAACAAGGUUCACCUCAAUAGUAUGAGAAUGUCUCCCAAAUGUCUAAUGAACUAGAUUAUAUACUCUAAUCCUUGACAGAAAAAAAAAAAGCUAUGGCACAUGAUAAUUAACCAGCUGUGGCAUCAGUGUUGUAGCCUUUGCUGUGGACAAUAAGACAUGAAACUGAGGCUGAGGUGUCUCUUCAGAAAGAACCUGCCCGUGUAAAAGUGGAAGCAUAAUAAUGAAGAGCUAUGUAAAUACUUUCCUAUGUAUUAGCUUCUGAAUUUUCCUGAAAAAUAAGCAAAGGAGUGUAUGAAAGAUAGGAUGACGUUAUUAGUUUCCCCAUCCAUACACAGCAAGUGUGUAAAUGAAAAUUGCAACUACCAUGGCAGGCUUCUAAAACUUACCAUUCUCUUGCACUCACAGAAUUUAGAAUUCUGGGCAAUAUAAGCAGUGUCAGUGAUAUAGUCUACUUGGUUCAUUAUUAGUGUGUGAUUAGAUAUUUGGGCAAAUAUUCUCUUGAACAGUCCUGUACUACUAUAAUUGAGUUGGAUACAACCUUUGAUGAAGCACUUCUAGUUGUUAAGUAUAAAACCUGUAAUUGUUAGCUUUAAAUAUCACAUUACCUCCACAAAGGAAUACCCAGAUUGUUGUUUUGCAUUCAGUACAGUGGCUGUACCUUAAGAAACUGCUGUUCCAAAUGGCAAUUGCAACUCAGCAACUACCAACAACAGCUGAGCCACAUGGGCUGCAUUUAGCCAGAGGAUCUUCGAUCAGUUCCCAGCAUGUACAUCAGGCAGGCUACAACCAUCUGUAA
Molecule: long non-coding RNA, 1037 nt
Filed under: Cricetulus griseus (Chinese hamster)
Lineage: Eukaryota; Metazoa; Chordata; Mammalia; Rodentia; Cricetidae
Description: lncRNA (ENSCGRG00015039041.1)
Source: RNAcentral